UGAGGAAUAUUGGGCAAUGCCCGCAAGGGUGACCCAGCAACGCCGCGUGGAGGAUGAAUGUCGUAAGAUUGUAAACUCCUGUUAGAGGGGAAGAAUAGUACCGGUUGGACCGGUAUAUGACUGUACCCUCAGAGAAAGCCCCGGCUAACUACGUGCCAGCAGCCGCGGUAAUACGUAGGGGGCAAGCGUUGUCCGGAUUUACUGGGUGUAAAGGGCGCGCAGGCGGGAUAAAAAGUCAGUGGUGAAAUCCUACAGCUUAACUGUAGAACUGCCUUUGAUACUUUUAUUCUUGAGUUCGGGAGAGAGAGGCGGAAUUCCAGGUGUAGUGGUGAAAUACGUAGAUAUCUGGAAGAACACCAGUUGCGAAGGCGGUCUCUUGGUCCGACACUGACGCUGAGGCGCGAAAGCGUGGGGAGCAAACA
This 422-nucleotide ribosomal RNA is filed under the name uncultured bacterium. Its description in RNAcentral is "bacterial SSU rRNA". It matches the Rfam family "Bacterial small subunit ribosomal RNA", at positions 355 to 774 of the family's 1533-position model. The record is from RNAcentral.